UCCCUGAAGGUCCAGUGAUUAGGACACUGCUCUUCCAAUGCAGAAGCCAUGGGUUCAAUCCCUAGUUAGGGAA
This 73-nucleotide transfer RNA is filed under the name Capra hircus (goat). It matches the Rfam family "tRNA". From Rfam's summary of the family: Transfer RNA (tRNA) molecules are approximately 80 nucleotides in length. Their secondary structure includes four short double-helical elements and three loops (D, anti-codon, and T loops). The record is from Rfam by way of RNAcentral. RNAcentral also lists the same sequence under 1 other name. Lineage: Eukaryota; Metazoa; Chordata; Mammalia; Artiodactyla; Bovidae.